RNAcentral lists this ribosomal RNA (492 nucleotides) under uncultured bacterium. RNAcentral describes it as "partial 16S ribosomal RNA". It matches the Rfam family "Bacterial small subunit ribosomal RNA", at positions 29 to 507 of the family's 1533-position model. The record is from RNAcentral.
AGUGAACGCUGGCGGUAGGCCUAACACAUGCAAGUCGAACGGCAGCACAGUAAGAGCUUGCUCUUACGGGUGGCGAGUGGCGGACGGGUGAGGAAUACAUCGGAAUCUACUUUUUCGUGGGGGAUAACGUAGGGAAACUUACGCUAAUACCGCAUACGACCUACGGGUGAAAGCAGGGGAUCUUCGGACCUUGCGCGAUUGAAUGAGCCGAUGUCGGAUUAGCUAGUUGGCGGGGUAAAGGCCCACCAAGGCGACGAUCCGUAGCUGGUCUGAGAGGAUGAUCAGCCACACUGGAACUGAAACACGGUCAAGACUCCUACGGGAGGCAGCAGUGGGGAAUAGUGGACAAUGGGCGCAAGCCUGAUCCAGCCAGACCGCGUGGGUGAAGAAGGCCUUCGGGUUGUAAAGCCCUUUUGUUGGGAAAGAAAAGCAGCAGGUUAAUACCACGCUGUUCUGACGGUACCGAAAGAAUAAGCACCGGCUAACUUCGUG